Molecule: ribosomal RNA, 1278 nt
Filed under: Toxicodendron radicans subsp. radicans
Lineage: Eukaryota; Viridiplantae; Streptophyta; Magnoliopsida; Sapindales; Anacardiaceae
Description: bacterial LSU rRNA
Rfam family: Bacterial large subunit ribosomal RNA
Source: RNAcentral
UAGGAGAGCGUUCUGUAAGCCUGUGAAGGUGAGUUGAGAAGCUUGCUGGAGGUAUCAGAAGUGCGAAUGCUGACAUGAGUAACGACAAUGCGAGUGAAAAACUCGCACGCCGAAAGACCAAGGUUUCCUGCGCAACGUUAAUCGACGCAGGGUUAGUCGGUCCCUAAGGCGAGGCUGAAAAGCGUAGUCGAUGGAAAACAGGUUAAUAUUCCUGUACUUCCAGUUAUUGCGAUGGAGGGACGGAGAAGGUUAGGCCAGCCUGGCGUUGGUUGUCCAGGUUUAAGGUGGUAGGCUGAAAUCUUAGGCAAAUCCGGGAUUUCAAGGCCGAGAGCUGAUGACGAGUUGCCCUUAGGCGACGAAGUGGUUGAUGCCAUGCUUCCAAGAAAAGCCUCUAAGCUUCAGAUAACUAGGAACCGUACCCCAAACCGACACAGGUGGUCGGGUAGAGAAUACCAAGGCGCUUGAGAGAACUCGGGUGAAGGAACUAGGCAAAAUGGCACCGUAACUUCGGGAGAAGGUGCGCCGGUGAGGGUCAAGGAUUUACUCCGUAAGCCCAUGCCGGUCGAAGAUACCAGGCCGCUGCGACUGUUUAUUAAAAACACAGCACUCUGCAAACACGAAAGUGGACGUAUAGGGUGUGACGCCUGCCCGGUGCCGGAAGGUUAAUUGAUGGGGUUAGCGCAAGCGAAGCUCUUGAUCGAAGCCCCGGUAAACGGCGGCCGUAACUAUAACGGUCCUAAGGUAGCGAAAUUCCUUGUCGGGUAAGUUCCGACCUGCACGAAUGGCGUAACGAUGGCGGCGCUGUCUCCACCCGAGACUCAGUGAAAUUGAAAUCGCUGUGAAGAUGCAGUGUAUCCGCGGCUAGACGGAAAGACCCCGUGAACCUUUACUAUAGCUUUGCACUGGACUUUGAAUUUGCUUGUGUAGGAUAGGUGGGAGGCUUUGAAGCGUGGACGCCAGUUCGCGUGGAGCCAACCUUGAAAUACCACCCUGGCAACUUUGAGGUUCUAACUCAGGUCCGUUAUCCGGAUCGAGGACAGUGUAUGGUGGGUAGUUUGACUGGGGCGGUCUCCUCCUAAAGUGUAACGGAGGAGUUCGAAGGUACGCUAAUUACGGUCGGACAUCGUGAUGAUAGUGCAAUGGCAUAAGCGUGCUUAACUGCGAGACCGACAAGUCGAGCAGGUACGAAAGUAGGACAUAGUGAUCCGGUGGUUCUGUAUGGAAGGGCCAUCGCUCAACGGAUAAAAGGUACUCUGGGGAUAACAGGCUGAUACCGCC